GUCUGAUUUACUCCUGAUGUUCACUUCUGCUGACUUCUCAAGCUCUGGGGAUGCCUCAGUGAUCUCUGAUGUGGAAUUAGUGGAGGCUGGCCGUUGCUCACCUCUACACAGCCUGCUGGUCGUUAGCGAGCAGGAGUUCUGAUGUUCCUCUCAUCUUGGAUGUCUUUCCUAGGAGAAUAUUUCUCACGUGUUUGACAGAAAACAUUAUCUGUCCAUCAUUUCCAUGGAUUCCUGGGUCUCACGGGCAGAAGGACAAGGCAGAUAUGAGGCGGAUCUGGUAAAACCAUAAACACCAUGAGAUCAGAGCAUCCAUCUGUAGACUCACAGAGCAAGAAGCGUGACUGCCCCAAUCUUGAAUGGAUGAGUAAUCAGCUGCCGGGUCCACCACUUCUUAACUUCAGAACCGCAGGAAGCCGCGUCAGUCAUGGGGUUCAUUUUGCACACGACAGAUUUCAUGGUUGUCCUUCCUCCAAACCGAGGAACCUAGAUCUUCUCUGAUCUCUGAAAAAUAAGUUCCUGGAUAUGAAAGGGGAUACUUUCCUUGGUGGUAGUCCCAGUGAAGACCCACUGAACAUCGUCAGCCUCAAAAUGUAAGCUGUGCUGUCAUCUGCUUUGUGGAACACAUAUGCUACACAUCUUCUCCUUUCAAUUGGGCUGAAGUUGGGGCACAGUUAAAGAGCAUUAUAAAGCUCCUGCUUUAGCAUGAACUUAGUUAUCUAUAGAAAAAAACAUGUACAAGGACACUGGGCUGUGGGGAGCAUUGCUCUCCCUCCAUUCCUGAGUGCUCUUAAUGGGAUUAUCCUGGCUUUCCAAAACCCUAUAGAGAAGAAGCUCAUAGAAGAAAAUUCUCUUACUGAAUCAGUAAAAUAUGGAAAAUAAUGGGACUGUUUAUUAAAGGAUUGAAUGAGAGAACACAAGUAAUGCACUUAGAAGAGUGACUGGCAUACAGUGAGUACUACGUGCUGGCUUCUCAACCAUGAUAGCCUGAAAUGUACCCGGAAAAUGGGGGCUAAUGUAAGUCAUAUUUAGAGAAGUUAUUUUGGGGGACAAUGUUUUUGACAAGACUACAUUUUUCAUUAUGUUGCUGUCUGUAAACAACUGUAGAUGCAGACUUGCAUUUUGAAAGGCAAGACCCAAAACACACAAACAGAGUAAAUACCUUUAAAAUGCCUCGAUCGCUGGAGAAAUGCCUGGAUGGACCUACCUGAGGGCAGACGCCACUGCCCAAAUUUCCUCUGGGGUUUCCCUGCGUCGGCUGCAUCUUGCCGACUUCCUCCUCGAUCCGACAGCGUGGGGCUCAGGAGCUGCUGCUGGCUGCUUGUCUGCAUGGGAGGAGAAGCACACAGUUACCGUCUUUUUAACCCUGCGCUCUCCUCCUUUUACUAUAAGAAAGGAAAACACAUGGCAGGAGGACAAGUGGGAAGAACAACAUGGACUCAGAGUGUCCACAAUGGGGAAAAGUGAAAAUGGGUAUAAAGGGUCACAGAAGAAAAAGAGCCACCACUGCACGCCCUGCUGAAGGAGACACCACUCUUCCUGGGACAUCUUGUCCUGGGUAACCCCCACUGCUUCGUUCCCCUCCAUGCCUGAGAAUGUCAUUGUUUCCCUUCAUAUCUUCGCUGGCAAACCAGGGGGCACUUCUUGAGCCACAUGCGGAUGGUCUGCUUGGCCACCUCCUCCUCUAUGGUGUACUCCAGCUGCUCCCUCGCCAGGAGUUCCUCCAGCUGCAAGCUCUUCCGGAUGUCCACGGACCGGUAUGAAAGCAUGCUGGUGGGAGAAACACACCUGCAAUCGCAGCUCUGAUUCACCUGAGAUUUACACCCUUAGAUACGUCAAAAUCCAGAGAGGACAUCACUCAGUCUAAUAAGUCUAGUGUUUUGACGCCACCCCUCGCCACCCGCAUGUCUUGGGCUGGUCCUGUCACCUCUCUGUGUCUCCCUUCCCUCGUCUGUAAAACAAAGAUGAUAGAUAGUCCUGGUAACUCCUUUAUUUAAUGACUAAGUGAGUUAAUAUCUGUGAGGCUCUUAUAGUAGUAAGUGCCAUCUAAGUGCCUGUAAAGCAAAAGAUCCAGGCUAGGAAAAGGCUCGCGACUUUCUCUGCAGAAGGAAGACCGCACCUCCCAUACUUUCUUCACACUUAGCCCCCCGAGGUGAUGGUUAAUAUGCUCGGCUGUGCGUCACACAUCCCUACUCCCUGCAUCCCACUUCCCUCUCUGUUUCUCUCAUUCAUCCUUCUGUAUCUUCCUUAUUAAUUAAUUUUUUCUUUUUUUGAGAUGGAGCUUCACUCUUGUUGACCAGGCUGGAGUGUAAUGGCGUGCUGUCAGCUCACUGCAACCUCCGCCUCCUGGGUUCAAGCAUUUCUUCUGCCUCAGCCUCCCAAGUAGCUGGGAUUACAGGUGUGUGCCACCACGCCCAGCUAGUUUUGUAUUUUUAGUAGAGACGAGUUUUCACCAUGUUGGUCAAACUGGUCUUAAACUCCUAACCUCAAAUGAUCCACCUGCCUCAGCCUCCCAAAGAGCUGGGAUUACAGGUGUGAGCCACCAUGCCUGGUCUUCCUUAUUAAUUUCAGAGGCUACCAAACAAACCCAGGGUUGAAUAUCCACUCCCAUUUAACCCUUGACAC
Molecule: long non-coding RNA, 2622 nt
Filed under: Homo sapiens (human)
Lineage: Eukaryota; Metazoa; Chordata; Mammalia; Primates; Hominidae
Description: HSALNT0206063
Source: RNAcentral